AUAGCUGAGAGACUUUAAAAAGAUGGUGGCAGGAAUAGUAGUCUGCCUCUGCCACCAGGAUCAUUAUCUCUUAUUGCCAUAAUUUUGGGGUAGGCUGCUUGUGUCUGUGUAGCUCUUUACCUUCCAGAUGGCCUACAGGUGCUAUACAGAAUCAGCAUUAAAGUCUGCUUGCAUAAGGUUUUAGGGAGGGAACAUUCGCUUGAAAAAAACUCAGCUUCUCAAAAUGCAUAAAUAUUCUGUCAGUGGAUUUUUUGACCCAGAAUCCAGAUUUUCAAAUGUUUUUUUUUUGCUUAAGAAGGGGGAUAGGCUUUAAGAAGAUGCCCCUUCUUGCCUCGUUGGUAACAUCAGGGCAGGGUCUACACCAACACCAGGUGUUUGGCAUCAUUCAGGGAUCUGCUCAAGGCUAGAGUUUCUGUUUUGCAGAAGCCAGUGGAGGUUUUUGAAGUCUGAUGCCUUCUGAAAACACAUCUGGGUUGUUCUUCAGUUAGGUACAAAUGCCUGGGGGAAGGCCCUUUCCUCAGCCCAGCUUCCCCUCUCUGGGCUGCAAUUUUGGAGGCUCUCCCCAUGCUUUUUCUCCACCCAGGUACUGGUGUGGAAAAGUGGCUAAUUGCUCUGCCCUCCUUCCAGCAUCAAGGUCAGAAAACAGAAAUGCAGAGAGCAAAGUGAGCCCCCCUUUUAAAGCAUGGAAUUUGAGUUUCAAAGUGCAGCCAUCCAUCCUGGAUUAACAGCAGCAUUUUGCACAGGCCCCUUUCUGUCUGCAGGCAAGUCAGGCAGUGAGCUUUUCAGUGAUGACAGCAGGCCACAGUAUUUACUGAAGGCAGCAGAGUUGUUGGUUUGGGGACACAUGGGAAGACUGAAGGAAAAAGGAGGCCAGUCCCAGUCUCUGCCUCAGCUUCACUCAGGCUGGAGUCUUGGAGGUUGAAGUGAAUCCCAAGGACUCUGAAGAAAGCAGGCAUGAAGAAAUCUGGAAGGGAUUAAAAAAGAAUGUUGAGCAGAAGACUGGCAGAAGGUUAAGCAUCACAGAGACCACGACUUUAUUUUUAACACAAAGCGUUGUUGUAAAUCUCCUAGAAAUUCACUUGACACUCAACGUGCCACAGGUUUUCAGAAGUGUGAAUGCAUUAAUCACAGGUAAGGAGAUGGAGUUGCAGCUUACAGCAGAAGGAGGGAACUGGUAUCUGAAGAUCAAAGCAUGGCUCGUGCUUCCUCAGUACAAGCAGCAGUCCCUGAUGGCUGUUUUCUCUGUGGCUUCAGUUCCCUCCCAGUUAUGUCCCCCUAUCUGUCCUUGGUUAUACAGGCUAUAUGAAGAGUCUCUUGUAGAAAUUAAUCAAGUUUACGAGGCAGAGCUGAAUUGUGGUUGAACAAGUUUUCCUUGACAAGAGCAAAUAAAUGGAAGAGCCACAAAACUAAGAUGGGAAGCUAAUUGCAGACCCUGGAAUGUGUUGCUCUGCUUUUUUAGAAGGAAAAUGCAUUAUAUUUCAGAAAUGUAACAAAACAAGUGCUGUUUUGGUUUUAUAGUGAUGUGGUAUAUUUGUAUAUCCAAACCAGGCCUUUGCUACUGAAUCUCUGAAUGCUGGGGCUAUUAGGUCAUCCUGUUAUAGUUUCUAAAUAAGCAAUCAGCUAAUUAAGUUAUUUGGUAAAAAUUCACAUGUCUUUGCUGUGUCUCACAGCUUCCCCUACAGCAGUAGUUAAAAGCUGUUGUUGCUUUAUUCUCCUGUUUUGUUUGCAUGGAGCACUCUAGUUACUAUCAAAGGAGCAAAGUUCAGAGAGAUCACAGUGCAAAACUCAAGAGCUAAAAAUAAAGAACAGGUUAAAUUCUCAACACAAAAUUGGGCACAAUAACCACUGAAGUCAAAUGCAGCUCAGCUCCAGUUCUUGCCCGUGUCUGCCUGCAGGAACUCUUGUAUCAGGCUUAGUGGCCAUAAAUUGUACAGUCAAAUUUGAAUUUAAUAAAUCUUCAGGAACAUGUUUCUCAAAACUCUGACUAAACACAUCCUCCCAUGCUGUUUCGGCAGCUGUUUCCUGUGUCUCCCAACCCUACAAAAGCAACCUGAGUAAGGUGUCUGGCUGCUUGGACUCAGCAACUUAGCCAUAAAUCCCUAGCUGUCAUUCCUGUGCUGAAAGCUGUCAUGGGGCUGCUGGAGGAAAAAUUAUCCCCAGCUUCAGCCUUGCCUUCAGUCUAGACAUAUUCUCCUUACCUGGCAUGCCGUGGAAGUGAGAAGGUGUUCUGGAGCGUUCACUGAUGCUCCGUCUGGGAAUCAUGAUAAACAGAAAAUAUUUGACAACUGAAACUCAGCUUACAGCCCCUAAGUGCACCAGAGCAGCUCAGCACCUGCAGCCUCAGAAGCUGGGCUGGAAGAGAAGUCAAUUUUUUCAUACACUAUGUAAGGUUGUUAGCAGCCUCCUCAUUACGGGAGAUAGUUUAGGUAGUGAAAUAAAAUGCAGGAAUCCAGGCUCUAACGAACAGUGUGACAGAUCCGUGGAUGGGAUAAACUGGGGUGGAUAAAUUGUAGCUACAGCGUGUGGGAGCAGAGGAGGAAAUAACAAAUGUACAGCCGUGGACUGAAGUGAGGUCUGUACUUAGAUGAAACAUAUUCCUUAGCAAUAUCAGGGCUGCUGUUGUGGACUCUAAAUGGGUUCCUGUGAUGAGCCCGAUCUUUGAUGGUAUUGGAUUAAUAUC
Passer domesticus (house sparrow) is the source of this 2680-nucleotide long non-coding RNA. RefSeq lists it as uncharacterized. Lineage: Eukaryota; Metazoa; Chordata; Aves; Passeriformes; Passeridae. The record is from RefSeq and is a predicted model, not a curated record. The transcript has 4 exons.